UUAGAAGAAGGGUGAAACUCAGCUGCUUUCUUUUUGACUUUCCACUUGGAAAUGGUUUUCCACUCAAAGUUUUAGAAGUUUCUGGUGUGUAUGCAGCCUGAAAAGUCAGGCUGGGGCUGCGACACACAUUUGUCUUUGCAUUUCAGUAUCCACGCUCUCAUGACAUUUUCACUGGUGCCAGUUUUGCAGGAGGUAAUCCCCAUCCUUCUCCCCCAGAAUCCCAAAUUUGGCUUAAAAUUCAGGAAACUGGGAGCAUUCUCCUCUCAGCCAGGCUGUUUAUUUGCUGUCUGGAGUCUUAUUGAAGCUCUGAGAGUUGCAUUUUGCAAGCUGUCUUCCUCCUGAAAGCGAGCAAGCUGCGCCUCUUCCUUAAUCAUCUGCUUUUGUUUGCUUGAAGGAAAAUACCAAAUAUCUCAUGACUCGCCAUAAAGCCGUGAAUGACUGCAAGGAUGCGCAAUUGCUGGGUGUCCUCAUGACUAAUGGAGCAGAUCAGCGGUUUUACUGGUCACCGGAUGAUUUGGGCAGGUCAGCCGCGGGGAGCGAGCAACCCCCCGAUUUCCAGAGCCUGCCUUAUAUCCUCCUGGGGAAGGUCUCAUCAGCGGCUGAGAAAUCGCUCCAAAAUACUCAUCCUGGGGUCUUCCUGAGGCAGAAACUCAUCUCCUGAUCUAACUGAAAGAGUGGUUCUCCACUGCUGUCGUCUCACCAGAACGCGGCUCCCGCACAGCAGCAGCGCUGGGACAGCCGGGCUGAUGGAGCAGCUGGAAGGGGUAAAACCGAGCUCACCGAUGCCGUCAGGAGGUUUUGCUCCAGCUUUGUGCUCUUUCCUUGCUCCCAAGUCCUUACCAUGUUGUUUUCCAGAGAAAAGCGGUGAGAAAUAAAUUCCUCUAUAAUCACA
Molecule: long non-coding RNA, 892 nt
Organism: Aquila chrysaetos chrysaetos
Lineage: Eukaryota; Metazoa; Chordata; Aves; Accipitriformes; Accipitridae
Exons: 2
Source: RefSeq, a predicted model, not a curated record